AAGUCGUAACAAGGUUUCCGUAGGUGAACCUGCGGAAGGAUCAUUGUCGAAACCUGCAUAGCAGAACGACCCGUGAACUUGUAACAACAAUCCGGUGUCCUUGGUAUUGGGCUUUUGUCUGAUUCUUAGGAUGCCAUGUUGAUGUGCUUUUUUGGUAAGCCCUUUGGGUCCCGAGGAUGUCACAUUGGCAACACAACAACCCCCGGCACGGAAUGUGCCAAGGAAAAAUAAACCUAAGAAGGGCUUGUAUGUUGCGUAACCGUUCGCGGUGAUUGCAAGGUAUGUGGCUUCUUUAUAAUCACAAACGACUCUCGGCAACGGAUAUCUCGGCUCACGCAUCGAUGAAGAACGUAGCAAAAUGCGAUACUUGGUGUGAAUUGCAGAAUCCCGUGAACCAUCGAGUUUUUGAACGCAAGUUGCGCCCGAAGCCUUUUGGUCGAGGGCACGUCUGCCUGGGCGUCACACAUCGCGUCGCCCCCCUCAACACCUCUUGACGGGGAUGUUGUAAUGGGGGCGGAGAUUGGUCUCCCGUUCCUAAGGUGCGGUUGGCUAAAAAAUAAGAGUCCCCUACGAUGGACGCACGAUUAGUGGUGGUUGAUAAAGACCCUCUUAUCGAGUCGUGUGUUCCAAGGAGUAAGGAAGUUCUCCUUAGUGAUCCUAUUGUGUCGUCUUGUACGAUGCUUUGACCGCGACCCCGGGUCAGGCGGGACUACCCGCUGAGUUUAA
This 726-nucleotide ribosomal RNA is filed under the name Gynura procumbens. RNAcentral's name for it is "eukaryotic LSU rRNA". The stretch from base 307 to 462 matches the Rfam family "5.8S ribosomal RNA". Lineage: Eukaryota; Viridiplantae; Streptophyta; Magnoliopsida; Asterales; Asteraceae. The record is from RNAcentral.